UACGAAGGGGGCUAGCGUUGCUCGGAAUCACUGGGCGUAAAGGGUGCGUAGGCGGGUCUUUAAGUCAGGGGUGAAAUCCUGGAGCUCAACUCCAGAACUGCCUUUGAUACUGAGGAUCUUGAGUUCGGGAGAGGUGAGUGGAACUGCGAGUGUAGAGGUGAAAUUCGUAGAUAUUCGCAAGAACACCAGUGGCGAAGGCGGCUCACUGGCCCGAUACUGACGCUGAUGCACGAAAAGCGUGGGGGAGCAAACAGG
This 255-nucleotide ribosomal RNA is filed under the name uncultured bacterium. Its description in RNAcentral is "partial 16S ribosomal RNA". It matches the Rfam family "Bacterial small subunit ribosomal RNA", at positions 524 to 776 of the family's 1533-position model. The record is from RNAcentral.